GGUGACAUGUCACCCCCUUUUGAGUUAGUACCUUUGUUUGUUUGCUUAAAUCAAACAUGUAUUUGUGGCAUUUCAUGUGCAUCCAGUCCAACUUGUCACCCCCCAUUUCAUGUAACUCAUACUUUGUCACCCCCAUUUCAUGUAACUAAUAUUUUGUCACCCCCCUUUUUGUAACCCUGGCUACGGGCCUGGUUAAUUGCACGAUUUGCAUCAAGAGUAGAUUAUUAGUUAAUUUUAUUAUAUAUUACAGUUUUGAUUUGGUAAAGAUCAGUUGGGUACAAUAUACAAUGACGGGUUCUGUGAUUUCAAAAAGUAUUCAUUACACAAUCACUUAACGCUCAAGAGUCUGUUGGUAAGGUUUUGUGGUUUCUAUGAGACCCAUCGUGGUACGUAGAUCUACUCAGUUAACAAAAGUGACAGGAGGUUUCUGUUCCAUGGUCACAGUAAGAGUACAAAUGGUUCAUUAUUGCCUGGCCAAGGAUUGGAUUGUACUGUACUGUACCUAGACUAGUGG
Molecule: long non-coding RNA, 514 nt
Organism: Amphimedon queenslandica
Lineage: Eukaryota; Metazoa; Porifera; Demospongiae; Haplosclerida; Niphatidae
Exons: 3
Source: RefSeq, a predicted model, not a curated record